UUUUAUUUUAUUUUAAAGUAAAAUAAGAAUAGAAGAAAUUGAAGGAAACUAUUCAACAGAGACUACAGGAUCUAAGUGUAAUAAAACAAACACAACAAAAUAAGAAGGGGACUAUCCAACAGAAACUACAGGAUCCAAGAAAAAUACAUAUCAUAGAUCGCACAAACUUCAAGGCACUUGUAUAAACCUGCAAAACAAGCAGGCUAAAAUUAGGACAACAGAGAAGGGGGGAACUACAUAAGAAGUUAAAAGAAAGGAUAGCCACUAGCUUUCUGAUCAGAACUUUCCUUCACUAGCUAGUAGAAUUAUGAUUAAAAUCUUGAAUUCCCUUCCCUUGCAAUGUAUAUCAGCACGAUACAGAGUUAAUAAUCUCUUUUGAUACGGCAAGCCAAGCCAGAGUAUAGAGUUAAUAAGGAUAACGACACCAGCACCAACAGUUACGUCAGUGGUAGAUUAGUUUGAAGAAAUUGGAAGGGGAGAAAUACAACAAUAACAACAACAUACCCAGUGUAAUUCCAAAACUGAAAAAAUCACUUUGUAAACCCAAUCGCAAAAUUUACAACAAAAAAUCCGAUAAACAAUUUCGUUUUUUCAAAAUUAUUUUUUUGAAAAAAAAAAGUAAAAUAAGAAUAGAAGAAAUUGAAGUUGAUUUUAGGAAGGAAAUUCACCUUAAUUCAAAGGUUUGAAUUAGAGAGAGAAAUUAAAUAGAAACUGCUGCUUGAAUUAACGCUUAUAAAGAGGAGAAAAUGGGUAAAUUUUUGCUAAAGUAACAGCUAAAGAAAGAGAGGUUUCAACUUGUAUCUCAACUUUACCAAAAAAAUUGUAAAUGUUGAGAUUUAAGUAAUAUUUAAGAAUUGGAGUGAUUUUUAGUAAUUUAGAAACAUAAGUGGUUUAUUUAAGUAAUUUUUCCUAAAAUUUUCUCCCCAGCCCAACAAAACCAACCGACCCGGCCCAAGUUCCCUUUCCCCUUAUAUCCCCUCAGCCGACAAAAACCAACAAAUAACAGCUAACAAUUUCAACGGACAAAACCCGACCCGUCCAACACCAGUUUCAGCAAACCAUUAGCGCAAAACAAUACCAACAUCAACAACAGUCAGCAAUCCAGAACAACAAUUUCAACACAAAUGACAGAAACAACUUUCAACGACAACAACUGCGAUAACAGAAAUAAUUUCAACGCAACAACAGUACAACAAUGGCAGAAGCAGCUCAGCAACAUCAUCUCAAUUUUCAAAAUUCAAAUGUCAAUUCGUUUUUCCUUCUUUACCCCUCCGUUUUCCCCCAAAACAACCACAAAUUCCUCUAUAAAUACCUACAUGUGUAGAGAAAUAGGGAGGAGGAUAUUGGGGAAAAAAAUUGAGGAUUCGGGAGGCUCAUGCUUCUAAUCCUACGUAACCCAAAAGAUUCUCGAAGAAACAUACUCAAAAACUCAAUUCCGAUAAAUUCGAAUUGAAAUUUCGGUGGUGGAAGUCCGUCGUCAACUCGUUGUUCCGAUUCGCUGCCCGGAAAAAGUCCAAUGGGACUCCCCAUAUCGUUGCAUUCACCCACAUUAUCUCGAGUCAGGCCUUAAAGUCCAAAGCUGGACUGAUAUCCAUGGGAUAUACACUUAGAUACAGUUGCUGUACACUGUAAAGCAGCUGAUAAUGGCUUAUAUUAAAAGUGGAAGCGAGCACGCAAGGUUUAUACAAAGAUAUACAGUGCGUAUACAAAAACGCAGCAGCAAUAGGGCUAAUAUACAGUCAGUAGACAACUGAUAUACAUUUCAGAAAAAUGGACUGAAGUCCAUAAUUCAAGCCCAAAACUGUGCAGAGAUUAAUGGGCCAAUUGAAGGCCCAACUUUAAUUCUUGCAUCUUGUAUUGUUUAUUGGUGCUAACUAACAUUUAAGUUAAUUAAUCUAGAUAAAUUUCCUAA
This is a long non-coding RNA of Capsicum annuum, 1912 nucleotides long. RefSeq lists it as uncharacterized. Lineage: Eukaryota; Viridiplantae; Streptophyta; Magnoliopsida; Solanales; Solanaceae. The transcript is spliced from 2 exons. The record is from RefSeq and is a predicted model, not a curated record.